GACGAACGCUGGCGGCGUGCCUAACACAUGCAAGUCGAGCGGGGACAUAUUGUGAAGCAGAAGUUUUCGGACGGAAGCGGAACGAUAUGUUCUAGCGGCGGACGGGUGAGUAACGCGUGAGCAACCUGUCCCUUACAGGGGGAUAACACAGCGAAAGUUGUACUAAUACCGCAUAAGACCACAGAGUCACAUGGCUUAGGGGUCAAAGGAGCAAUCCGGUAAGGGGUGGGCUCGCGUCCGAUUAGAUAGUUGGUGAGGUAACGGCCCACCAAGUCGACGAUCGGUAGCCGACCUGAGAGGGUGAUCGGCCACAUUGGGACUGAGACACGGCCCAAACUCCUACGGGAGGCAGCAGUGGGGAAUAUUGGGCAAUGGGGGAAACCCUGACCCAGCAACGCCGCGUGAGGGAAGAAGGUUUUCGGAUCGUAAACCUCUGUCCUAGGUGAAGAGAAAGAGACGGUAGCCUAGGAGGAAGCCCCGGCUAACUACGUGCCAGCAGCCGCGGUAAUACGUAGGGGGCGAGCGUUGUCCGGAAUGAUUGGGCGUAAAGGGCGCGUAGGCGGCCCGGUAAGUCUGAAGUGAAAGUCCUGCGUUCAACGUGGGAAUUGCUUUGGAUACUGUCGGGCUUGAGUGCAGGAGAGGUAAGUGGAAUUCCCAGUGUAGCGGUGAAAUGCGUAGAGAUUGGGAGGAACACCAGUGGCGAAGGCGACUUACUGGACUGUAACUGACGCUGAGGCGCGAAAGUGUAGGGAGCAAACAGGAUUAGAUACCCUGGUAGUCCACACUGUAAACGAUGAAUGCUAGGUGUAGGGGGUAUCGACCCCUUCUGUGCCGCAGUUAA
This 841-nucleotide ribosomal RNA is filed under the name uncultured bacterium. RNAcentral's name for it is "bacterial SSU rRNA". It matches the Rfam family "Bacterial small subunit ribosomal RNA", at positions 28 to 855 of the family's 1533-position model. The record is from RNAcentral.